UGAGGAAUAUUGGUCAAUGGGCGCAGGCCUGAACCAGCCAAGUCGCGUGAGGGAAGACUGCCCUAUGGGUUGUAAACCUCUUUUGUCAGGGAGCAAGGUGCAGGCCGGGACCUGCUGUGAGAGUACCUGAAGAAAAAGCAUCGGCUAACUCCGUGCCAGCAGCCGCGGUAAUACGGAGGAUGCGAGCGUUAUCCGGAUUUAUUGGGUUUAAAGGGUGCGUAGGCGGAAUGCCAAGUCAGCGGUAAAAUCGCGGGGCUCAACCUCGCUCCGCCGUUGAAACUGGCGUUCUUGAGUGGGAGAGAAGUAUGCGGAAUGCGCGGUGUAGCGGUGAAAUGCAUAGAUAUCACGCAGAACUCCGAUUGCGAAGGCAGCAUACCGGCGUCCUACUGACGCUGAGGCACGAAAGCGUGGGUAUCGAACAGG
RNAcentral lists this ribosomal RNA (423 nucleotides) under uncultured bacterium. RNAcentral describes it as "bacterial SSU rRNA". It matches the Rfam family "Bacterial small subunit ribosomal RNA", at positions 355 to 776 of the family's 1533-position model. The record is from RNAcentral.